GCUAAACGCGAAGAACCUUACCAAGGCUUGACAUAUACGAGAACGGGCCAGAAAUGGUCAACUCUUUGGACACUCGUAAACAGGUGGUGCAUGGUUGUCGUCAGCUCGUGUCGUGAGAUGUUGGGUUAAGUCCCGCAACGAGCGCAACCCUCGUUCUAUGUUGCCAGCACGUAAUGGUGGGAACUCAUGGGAUACUGCCGGGGUCAACUCGGAGGAAGGUGGGGAUGACGUCAAAUCAUCAUGCCCCUUAUGUCCUGGGCUUCACGCAUGCUACAAUGGCCGGUACAAAGGGCUGCAAUACCGUAAGGUGGAACGAAUCCCAAAAAGCCGGUCCCAGUUCGGAUUGAGGUCUGCAACUCGACCUCAUGAAGUCGGAGUCGCUAGUAAUCGCAGAUCAGCAACGCUGCGGUGAAUACGUUCCCGGGUCUUGUACACACCG
Molecule: ribosomal RNA, 439 nt
Filed under: uncultured bacterium
Lineage: Bacteria
Description: bacterial SSU rRNA
Rfam family: Bacterial small subunit ribosomal RNA
Source: RNAcentral